CCAUUGCCAAUAUGAGAACAUCCAGUUCUGAAUGUAACGGUGAUAAGUUGUUUCUCAAUCCUAAAAGUGGUUUCUUUCUAGUUUCGUCUAGCCAUAUCCAACUAUAACCACUGUACUAUGACACCGCAGUCCAAGAACCAUCUACCAGAUCUUGGUACAUACAUGAUCUUGAAGUUUGGAUAGUCUCCUUUGAUAACUUCAAACUCUGCUAACUCGUUGGAAAAGCUUGACCAUGCUCUUGGAUCCUUUAUCAUUGAAAUUACAUCCUAAAUCAGUACCAAAUGACUGACAUGAGGUAUGCUGAACCAUAUUCUUCAUUGCCCAUAUGAGAGCAUCCAGUUCUGAAUGUAAUGGUGACAAGUUGUUUCUCAAUCCUAAGAGUUGUUCCUUUCUAAUUUAGUCUAGCCAUAUCCAACCAUAAACAUUGUACUAUGACACUGCAAUCCAAGAACCAUCUACCAGACAAAUAUUUUUUAAGCAUAAGGCUUGUGUACCCUGGUUCUGGUAUGGUGGAAUCACUUCAUUACUUGUUAUUAAGUU
RNAcentral lists this long non-coding RNA (540 nucleotides) under Brassica napus (rape). RNAcentral's name for it is "long non-coding RNA (BNAP_LNC007278)". The record is from RNAcentral. Lineage: Eukaryota; Viridiplantae; Streptophyta; Magnoliopsida; Brassicales; Brassicaceae.